Myzus persicae (green peach aphid) is the source of this 857-nucleotide long non-coding RNA. RefSeq lists it as uncharacterized. The transcript is spliced from 2 exons. The record is from RefSeq and is a predicted model, not a curated record. Lineage: Eukaryota; Metazoa; Arthropoda; Insecta; Hemiptera; Aphididae.
GAUGUACCUAUAAGUACCUAUAACAUAUUUUUCUGUAUUCAUCUUUUAUUAUAAUAUGUAACGUAAACUAUUUUAACGAUCUUACAUUUUGCACUAGAUACGUGUACUUGUUUGUUAACAAAUUACUCAUAUUUUGUUGAGGAUUAACAUAUUAUUCUUCAAGUAGACAUGCUUCAAUACUACGAGAUGAUGAUGUUUGUGUUGUUGAAAAAAGAAUAUAGGUUUACCAUAUAAUUGCAAAAACAACUCUGACUGACUAUUAUAGUGUAAUUAAUAUUUCCUUUUGCAACUUAAUUGGUGAUCAAGCUUAUCGCUACCUAAUAAAUCCCCUAAUUAGUAUCUCCCAAAUUCAAAAUGUUUUUAUUUUAAUUAAUUAUUUUGGUAAAUAAGUUUUGUAAAAAGGAAUUAUAAUCAUUUAGUUGUGGUGGAAAAAAAAUUAUUUCUCUGAAGUCAAAAAAAGUAAUAUUACAGCUCGACAACAUGAUCAGCUAUUCUGAAGUUUUAUUGCUAUAAUAACUAUGACCCUUGUAGUUGAACAGUACCUAUUACCAAUAACUGCAUACGUCAAAUUAUUGCAAUGAGAGAGAAACUCUUCUGCUGAGCGUGUUUGUUUUGCGACUCGUUCAAUAUGUGCACCUGCGUGGUAUGGGUAAUACAUCUCCGUCUUAUGGUAACGGAACGUCGGCGGUACGUGACGUUUCGUGCACUUGUUCAGAUCCCAUUCAAAGACCAGCCGUUACACGUACUUACUACGAGCUACGGUUCAAGGGACUUGAAUAACUAUGUUUUGACCGAUUUAUUAAUACAUGUUAAAUGUGUUAUUGUUUAUUUAUAUUGGUAAAUUUGUUGGACAUAAA